This 498-nucleotide ribosomal RNA is filed under the name uncultured bacterium. Its description in RNAcentral is "partial 16S ribosomal RNA". It matches the Rfam family "Bacterial small subunit ribosomal RNA", at positions 30 to 523 of the family's 1533-position model. The record is from RNAcentral.
AUUGAACGCUGGCGGCAUGCCUUACACAUGCAAGUCGAACGGUAACAGGUCUUCGGAUGCUGACAAGUGGCGAACGGGUGAGUAAUACAUCGGAACGUGCCUAGUAGUGGGGGAUAACUACUCGAAACAGUGGCUAAUACCGCAUGAGAUCUACGGAUGAAAGCAGGGGAUCGCAAGACCUUGUGCUACUGGAGCGGCCGAGGGCAGAUUAGGUAGUUGGUGGGUUAAAAGCUUACCAAGCCGACGAUCUGUAGCUGGUCUGAGAGGACGAUCAGCCACACUGGGACUGAGACACGGCCCAGACUCCUACGGGAGGCAGCAGUGGGGAAUUUUGGACAAUGGGCGAAAGCCUGAUCCAGCAAUGCCGCGUGCAGGAUGAAGGCCUUCGGGUUGUAAACUGCUUUUGUACGGAACGAAAAGCCCUGGGUUAAUACCCUGGGGUCAUGACGGUACCGUAAGAAUAAGCACCGGCUAACUACGUGCCAGCCGCCGCAGUAA